AUGCUUUACACAUGCCAAGUCGAACGGUAACAGGUCUUCGGAUGCUGACGAGUGGCGAACGGGUGAGUAAUGUAUCGGAACGUGCCUAGUAAUGGGGGAUAACCACUCGAAAGAGUGACUAAUACCGCAUAAUAUCUCAGGAUGAAAGCGGGGGACCGUAAGGCCUCGCGUUAUUAGAGCGGCCGAUAUCAGAUUAGGUAGUUGGUGGGAUAAAAGCCUACCAAGCCAACGAUCUGUAGCUGGUCUGAGAGGACGACCAGCCACACUGGGACUGAGACACGGCCCAGACUCCUACGGGAGGCAGCAGUGGGGAAUUUUGGACAAUGGGCGAAAGCCUGAUCCAGCAAUACCGCGUGCAGGACGAAGGCCUUCGGGUUGUAAACUGCUUUUGUACGGAACGAAACGGUUCAGAUUAAUACUCUGAACUAAUGACGGUACCGUAAGAAUAAGCACCGGCUAACUACGUGCCAGCAGCCGCGGUAAUACGUAGGGUGCAAGC
This 499-nucleotide ribosomal RNA is filed under the name uncultured Comamonadaceae bacterium. Its description in RNAcentral is "bacterial SSU rRNA". It matches the Rfam family "Bacterial small subunit ribosomal RNA", at positions 44 to 539 of the family's 1533-position model. Lineage: Bacteria; Pseudomonadati; Pseudomonadota; Betaproteobacteria; Burkholderiales; Comamonadaceae. The record is from RNAcentral.